CAGCCGCCGCGGUAAUACGUAGGUGGCAAGCGUUGUCCGGAAUUAUUGGGCGUAAAGCGCGCGCAGGCGGAUCAGUUAGUCUGUCUUAAAAGUUCGGGGCUUAACCCCGUGAGGGGAUGGAAACUGCUGAUCUAGAGUAUCGGAGAGGAAAGUGGAAUUCCUAGUGUAGCGGUGAAAUGCGUAGAUAUUAGGAAGAACACCAGUGGCGAAGGCGACUUUCUGGACGAAAACUGACGCUGAGGCGCGAAAGCCAGGGGAGCGAACGGGAUUAGAUACCCCAGUAGUCCCUGUCUCUUAUACA
This 301-nucleotide ribosomal RNA is filed under the name uncultured bacterium. RNAcentral's name for it is "partial 16S ribosomal RNA". It matches the Rfam family "Bacterial small subunit ribosomal RNA", at positions 509 to 809 of the family's 1533-position model. The record is from RNAcentral.